Salvia splendens (bonfire salvia) is the source of this 2058-nucleotide RNA transcript. It is a transcript of the gene named pentatricopeptide repeat-containing protein At4g11690, with no coding region annotated. The transcript has 3 exons. NCBI's taxonomy places the organism in Eukaryota, Viridiplantae, Streptophyta, Magnoliopsida, Lamiales, Lamiaceae. The record is from RefSeq and is a predicted model, not a curated record.
CUUUUUGCUUCUCUGUCUCUCAAAUCAAAUUUCGAAGAAGAUGGAUUGCAGUGAGUGAAAAUGAGAUUCUCUAACAAAUUUCACCCUAAUCAGAAUUUCUUCAGGUACUGCUUAAACUGCUCAUCACUCUCUCCAAAAACCCUAACCCCCAAAUAUCCGUUUUCAGUAUAUGUAAAUACAAUAAUUUUUUUGCGCCAUUCUUCAAUUGGGUUGUAUGCAUUUAUCCCUUCUGAACCACGCUCACUUCAAAAAACGCCAGUUUUAAGCACUUCCUCUUCUGGGUCUUCCUCAAGUCUUCAUUUUGGAUUGCGUUCGGUUCAAAUUAAGCUGUCUUCACAUGUCAAGAAUCAAGUUUUGGGCGAUUCAUUUCGUGGGCUUCCUUCAAAAUUUAUAAUUGAAUCAUUGGUUUUAUCAACACAUAGGUGCCACAGUGUGUGUAAUGCAUUUGGUUGGCUUAGUUGUGGGGAAAUGGUUAGAUACUACUCUGUAUCAUCAUCAAAUAGCUCGUUGGCUUCUGGUUCUGUUGUGAAGAGUGAGAAAAAUUAUAGGCUGGGGUUUGUUUUGGAAGUUGUUGGUAUGAUUAGGAGCAAUGGAGAGGAUUUGGAGCGCAGGUUAAAUAUGACGCGCCCUAGAUUGAAUGCAUACUCUAUCACUGAGAUUUUUGAAUUCUUGAACUCUGAGAAGGUACAUGGAUUGAGGUUCUUUGAGUGGAUUUGUAGUAAUCAUCCUAAGCUGCAGAAGGAUACUUGUGUUUGUAGUUUGAUCAUCGAUAACCUCGGAAGGUUGGAGGACUAUGGAACAAUGCAAGAGUGGUUUAGGAAGUUUGCUUGUGAAAAGAUUUGUCUGACUUAUGAGGCUUUUGGGUUUUUACCGGUGUUGGCAUCCGCAGACGCUUCAUUGAAGGAAUCCACUAAAAUUGUGUUGGAUUUGUUGAAUGAAGUUGGGGGAUCAUUUCAGAGUUCUGGUGUCUGUGCCUUGAUUGAGAUGCUGUGUAAGUUUCACUUGUUUGACAUGGCUAAGCAUGUCAUCUGCAUUUCCGAGGGCAAGCAGUCGUGUUCUCUCCUUUUCAUCCGUGAGAUGUGCAGGAGUGGUCUUAUAGAAGAAGCACAUGGUAUAAUCAGAGGGAUUAGACAGGCUCGUUGCGCUCAUACUACCACUUUGUAUAACUAUCUUCUUGGAAGCCUAUGGAAGAAUUCCAGGAUUACUGAAGUCUUUCAACUGGUUGAUGAGAUGAAAAAAAGCGAUAUCCCUUUUGAUGCUAUAACGUUUGAGAUUCUUAUCAAUUCUGUUUGUAGUUUAGGCAAUAUGGAUGCUGUUCACCGGAUUCUUGAUCAAAUGGUGGCUCAAGGAGUUCAGCCUCGACUGUCUACUCAUGCUUGCAUCAUUAAGACUUUGUUUGCUGCAGAAAGAUAUGAGGCAGCAUACAAGCAUGUUGUUUAUGCAAGUGCUAUUGAUAAGACCUCUAGCAAUAUGAUAUACAGCUUAACGGCCAAACUUUAUUUGGAAAAAGGUCAUAUCAUGAGUGCUCGGAACACUCUUGUGGACAUGAUGGAAAAAGGUCUAAGGCCGAAUUUCAGCAUUUACAUGAAAGUUGUGAAGCAACUUAGAAGAACUGGGAGGGGAAAUCUAGCAAGAGACUUGGAAAGCAAGCACUUCAAGUUUGUAUUCAAUCCUCACGUAGCAUAUUCUUCUCCUCUCCCACGGAUUGGCAGUUCUUAUUAUGUUCGCAUAUCCAACAAAUUCACAUGAUAUAUACAAGUUUGGUUCCAUAGUUUCUUGAUUAACUUUGAUGUUUGUGUUUUCUCCAUUUGUCUUUGAGGAAAGAAAUUUUGUUGGUUCAGGUGCAAUUUCAAUCUUUUACUAGCAAAAGGAACGAUGCUGCCUAAAGGUCGAUAGUACCCUUCUCGUCAACAACCUCGAGAUUCUCCGACCCCCGACGGGCCCACUAGCUCCAUCCACAUUUUAGGCGAGUCGAGUGGCGCCUCAUUGAUGGCUUGAAUGUCGCUAGGCGACAGCUUCACCCUAGCCGGGACAGCACCCCCGCUAGAACCACCAUCU